This 2056-nucleotide long non-coding RNA is filed under the name Mus musculus (house mouse). Its description in RNAcentral is "long non-coding RNA chr7:81303910-81305966". The record is from RNAcentral. Lineage: Eukaryota; Metazoa; Chordata; Mammalia; Rodentia; Muridae.
GGCCAGAGGAGAGAUCCCCCUGCUGUUGGGGCAGAGUAUUGCAGACACUCAUCACUCUACAGUCCUUUCUGCCUGCUGUCCCUUUGGGGUAGAUAGAUAUGUUAACUUGAUUUUUAGGUUCACAUUCAUGCCUCCCUGUAUCAUUUUUCUUCUUCUCAUAACUCCCCUGUCAGGGGACCGACAAGCUCCUCUCUUCCAGCUAGCCCCUGUCUAUACGUCUCUACUUUUCCUCUUUUGUUGCCCCAGCCCUGAAACCCACACAUACACGCACACACGCACUCAGUGUAGGAUAAGUAUUGGCUAUGCUUAUGCCCGCCCGAGCUGACUGUGACCUCAGGGCUCUUUGACCUGCUUUGUCUCCUGUGACUUCCUUCCUGUGUCUCCCUUCCUCACAGCUCCACUUCCCUACUCCACUGUCUUGUUUCCUCCACAAAUUACCUGGUCUUUGACCUUUGCCUUCUUGUUCUUGUUCCUCAGUAGCCUGCUGUCACUCAAGAUUAAAUUGUCAGAGAAUGAUUUUCCUCUUGCCUUUUAUGAAUAAAAGUCCCAGUAUGUCUCUUAGUCACACUCUCUGUUCAUAGGCUGUCCUCGUACCUUGCCUAGAUCUCUGGAAUAAACUGAUCCCUCUGCCUUUGCCUCCUUCAAGUUCAUCGAUCCUGUUGGCUGCUAAUUUCCUUGCUUUGGAGUGUGCACUGUUUGCCCCUGACCUGAUCCAGGUCUUCUUCACAUUCCCACAGUUAUGGUGGGCAGAUCCCAUCUGGUCUCCUCAUCCCAAGACUAUCAUGUUGCUCCCUUGGUAUAAUAUUCAGAUUGCUUAGUCUGGUGACCAAGAUUCUGUAGUUGACUUCAGUCACUCUAAACAAAAGCCUCGUGUGUUGUUUGAUUGUUUACCAUUGGUAAGCACAGUGCCAGCCUUGGGGACAGGACAGCUGGAUGACAAUGACUUAAUUUUAUGACAGUGAUUGCCAAAGGGGACCACAUCAAUAGCUGGUAUGUAGCUUGUGCCAGAGAGCAGCAGAGUGUGCAGUGGGGAGCUCAUGUGGGGACAGGACUGUGCGAAAGCACCCGCACCCCGAACUGGCUGGCUCCUGAACCCGCUGGAUGUCAGAUUGACCAACUAGAAAUCUCUCUGACCAUGGUCUAAGGAAGUAUUCUUCCUCUUAGGAAUUCCAACCUUCAGUGAUACAUAGCUAAAUUUAUAUUUAUAAUUUUAUAGUUAGUAAAUUAGUAUUUAUAAUUAGUAAAUAUGGUUCGUGCUAAAUACAUUUUUUGUUUACCUUGGUGACUGGAAAGCUUAUAUUUAACAUUGUUCCCCCAGCCAGGACACUGGCUUGACCUCUGCUCCUUCUGGGGACCUGUGGUACUGCCGUGGCCUGUUAGACCUCGGCUAGGGUCUGUCUGAGUUUCUUCAGGAGCUGGAGUAGGACAUUCUCCAUCUAUCUUUCAGUGUGCUGGUGGCUUGGCCCUGAUGACCUACUGUUUCUUUCUCUUUUCUUCAUUCCCUCUUUUCUUUUUCAUGUAAUGGAACAAUUCUAUUGAGACGUAAUUCUCAUACCAUACAGUCUACCCAUCAAAAGUGUACAGUUCAUAACACUUGGGAGGCCAAGGCAAGAGGGCCAUUACAAGUCUGAGACCAGCCUAGUCUGUGUAGCCAGUUCCAGGCUGGCCAGAGCUACAUCGGGAGAGCCCACCUCAAACCAGCAAAAAGAGCUAGCUACACAGCCCAGUGAUUUUUAAGUAUAUUUGUGUAGGUGUGGCAUGGCGGAGGAGGAACCAGGGCACACCUUCCCCUGGGGUGAUGAGGGUAUCUAGGGACUUGUCACAGUUUCCCACAUUGUCUUGGAUAGUCCUCUUAGAGCUGUUUGUUUCCAGGGUGACUCUGUGGCCAUGGAAGUGAGGACUGCCUACUCCUUCCUGCUAGGGGAUCCCUGGUUAGUGUUUGGGCAUAGUCUGUCCCUGGGCUAGCUGUACCAAGAGCUAAGCUGUUUAUAACCUGCUCUUUUCUCUGGUUACUACUAACUGCAGACAGAGCUAGCUGGUUUUGACAUGGUCUUCU